UAAAUAGAUACCCCGGUAGUCCACGCCGUAAACGGUGGGCGCUAGGUGUGGGGGACUUUCCACGUCCUCUGUGCCGCAGCUAACGCAUUAAGCGCCCCGCCUGGGGAGUACGGCCGCAAGGCUAAAACUCAAAGGAAUUGACGGGGGCCCGCACAAGCGGCGGAGCAUGUGGCUUAAUUCGACGCAACGCGAAGAACCUUACCAAGGCUUGACAUGCAGAGAAAUCUCGUAGAGAUACGGGGUCCGCAAGGGCUUUGCACAGGUGGUGCAUGGUUGUCGUCAGCUCGUGUCGUGAGAUGUUGGGUUAAGUCCCGCAACGAGCGCAACCCUUGUCCUAUGUUGCCAGCGAGUAAUGUCGGGGACUCAUAGGAGACUGCCGGGGUCAACUCGGAGGAAGGUGGGGAUGACGUCAAAUCAUCAUGCCCCUUAUGUCUUGGGCUGCACACAUGCUACAAUGGUCGGUACAAAGGGCUGCGAGACCGCAAGGUGGAGCGAAUCCCAAAAAAGCCGGCCUCAGUUCGGAUUAGGGUCUGCAACUCCG
This 541-nucleotide ribosomal RNA is filed under the name uncultured bacterium. RNAcentral describes it as "bacterial SSU rRNA". It matches the Rfam family "Bacterial small subunit ribosomal RNA", at positions 775 to 1314 of the family's 1533-position model. The record is from RNAcentral.